Molecule: long non-coding RNA, 1615 nt
Organism: Coccinella septempunctata (seven-spotted ladybird)
Lineage: Eukaryota; Metazoa; Arthropoda; Insecta; Coleoptera; Coccinellidae
Exons: 2
Source: RefSeq, a predicted model, not a curated record
UCUAUUCAAUUCCACUACCUUUUUCGUGCCCUUCAAGGUUGUGCGGAAGCGAUUAACACUAAUUUCAAUUUUCGGUCAAUUAUUUUGCAUCAUAUAACAUCUGGCAUGAUUAGGGAAGACACACUAAGUAUUUUAUUCUAUCCAUUUGUUUUUUCACUUAAUGAAACUGAAAUCAGAAAAAAUCCUGCCUGGUAGAAGAUACAGGCUGGCGACCUUUUACAAUUAAAAACCGUGAUAAGUUACCAAGGCAAGGCUUCAAAACAGGAUGCACAAAAGCUGCACACAUUACAUAAUGCCAUAGGAUUUGAUGAGUUUAAAGUACCUUGUUGAGGUAUUCGAAUUUUAACUAUUCCAAACUAUCCAACCCGAAAUUGGAAGAAAAAGUAUUUUAAGCGAACCUUGAACCCUUUUCUUCCACGUUCUUAUAAAGGCAUCUUUGCCAUCCUAACACAGCUCUUCAAAGGUUUAUUGAAGCUAGUGAACUGUGAUAUGCAAUAAUACUUAAUUCAAAUUCCCAUUACUAUGCCUUACAUGCAGUUAAAUGCGUAUUUUUUCGGAAUAAGAUAGAACUCAUCCAAAUGUAUCAUUUUAUCGGAAAUCGCAUAUACCAAACAUUCAAGAUGGCGGAGUUAUCAUCUCCCAAAGUCGAAUGCGAUUUCGUUAAAUUGUUGGGUACGGUUCUGAUUCUCACUUCAGUCGCGCGCGCAUCUGAUUUGUGUAAUCAGAUGAAUCAUUAGUACAUGACGAUUAUAAUUUUGAAAUAUGCAUUUAUUCAAAUAUUGAACUUGACAAGAUUCUGGUUUUUGACAAAUCCUGAAUAAAGUAUCGAAGGUAAACAGCCAAAAUUUCGUGGGCAUUAUAAUUUUCUACUACGUACUGGAUUUCGAAGAUUAUUGGAAAUGAUGAUCCGAAAUGAGAAGGAAUUUUGAGAGAAGAAAAAAAAUCGAAAAAUGCGCAGAUGGAUUAUUUUACACCAAUGAAUCUCCUCGACUUCUAGUAGUUUCCGAAGAAACGUUUCGAUAAUGGAGGAUAGAUCUUUUUACUGUUGCUUUGAACACCACAAAAGUGCAAAUUCAAAUCAAACUGCCCAUUUACUUGUUGACAGUUACAUGAAAUAAAGAAAAAAAACAACUUGGGAAUUGUGAUCUGAUAAGAUUGGACGUUUGAACAUCAAACAGGUGUCUGGAAUCUUAUUAAAUGAAAGUCAUGUUUUAGUUGUGGUUAUUAGGUAAAUAAUGAAAAAUGCUAACUCAUGGGAGAAUUUGACUGUCAUUCCAAAGCAGCACUCCUAUGUUAUUUCUAUUGAUAAUUGAUAAGGAUAAGAUAUUUGAAAAAAAAGUGGAACUGAUUCUUUUCUUUUCGUCGCCAAAAGAUGAAGUCAAUAAAAUACUCAAACAAAAUGAACAAAUCCCUGAAAAACCCCAAAUUUAUUCUUGAAAUUUUUGUUUCUAUUUUAAACAUCAACUCAUUGUUUUGGAUUACUCCUCUCAAAUGAAGCUCCUGAGAUGAAGCUCCAUAUUCAACUUUUUCCCGAUGUACAUAUAACUAGUUUUUUGUUUUGUCUUGAUGCCUUGAUGAUAAAAUUUGCUGCUUGAAGAGUUUGAAGUUUCAUAAU